Molecule: small nucleolar RNA, 131 nt
Filed under: Echinops telfairi (small Madagascar hedgehog)
Lineage: Eukaryota; Metazoa; Chordata; Mammalia; Afrosoricida; Tenrecidae
Description: Small nucleolar RNA SNORA38 (ENSETEG00000022555.1)
Rfam family: Small nucleolar RNA SNORA38
About the family: ACA38 is a member of the H/ACA class of snoRNA that guide the sites of modification of uridines to pseudouridines.
Source: RNAcentral
UCCUCCUACAAAGGCAUGUCUGUGGUUCCCUGUCCUUGGACACGUAAGAAUUGGAGGCAAAGAAAUGUGGAUUUGGAGAAGUUUAGGGCCAGCUUGAUCCUCACAGGUUCCAGUGCCCCCAUCCCACACUG